Molecule: long non-coding RNA, 11363 nt
Organism: Acinonyx jubatus (cheetah)
Lineage: Eukaryota; Metazoa; Chordata; Mammalia; Carnivora; Felidae
Exons: 3
Source: RefSeq, a predicted model, not a curated record
AACGGCUGGAAGAUGGUUUGAUAUUGAUUUAUUUGCUGUUUUGAUUUAGAUUGUUUCUCUUUUCCUAAGAUCUCAAGGGUGCUGUUCAAAAACCUUCUCAAGCAGCAUCAUGGAGCAACAUAAGCAGUGGGGGUGGAGGCAGGGGAAAGCUAAAAGGUGAAAGGGAUAGUUGAGGAGGGGAGGGGAAAGCAAGGCUAGUGAUUUUCUUGGGUUAGCUAUUGAUCUGACCCUUUAUUUUCCGAAUGCUGUUGCAUUUCCCCGAGUCAGGCCCGUGCUCCCUGCCCAUCCUCCAAUCCAUAGGGCUGUGCCAGGAGCAGUGUAGGAAAAAAAGCAUCAGACUGGGCUUUGGAGCUACUUACACCUGGCUUUGAAUCCACCACUUCCAAUCUAUUGACCUUUGGCAAGUUAUUUAUAUGCUCUCGCAUCUUGUAAGGUGCAGCGUAUUAUUUGGUCUUUGUUAUAGGUAGAUUCAUGUUAGAUGGACUUUUCCCAAAACCAGUUAGAAAGGAAGGUAUCCUAAACUUUGCAGAUCCCCAGACCUUAAUUACUUGGCCACUCUGCUUUGUGCUGCCGAAGCCCAGCCUUUUGGAGGCAAAAAAGGACAUCUGGACAUCUCACCCCAACUGCAAGUCACUUACUUUGUCAAAGGCACCUGCAUCAACACUGGCCUCACAGGAUUGUCAGUAGGAUCAAAUGGCAUGAUAGGUGACAUUGGUACCUUAUUACCAGCCUCUCCGUGUUACAUUUGUGUAAACAGGCACAGAAAAGUUAAAUCACUUGUCUAACAUCAUACGGCUAGUAAUUGACAUAGGAUUUGAACCCAGGCACAGCUCACAUCAGACCCAAAUUUGUAAUUAGUAAAAAUAACAAAAAAUUAUGGGACAGUGUUGUUUUCUCUCAUAUUUAAGGUUAGGUUAUUUUGUAUCCAGGAAAUUUUCUCGGAAUGAAAAAAAGAGAUACAUUUUGCUGAUUUUCUUCCUUAUAUUUAUCCAAAAAUGGUAUGAUAGUAGGAUAUAUAGCCUUUUUUUAAUGUUUGUUCAUUUUUAAGGGGGGUGGGGGGCAGAGACGGAGGCAGACAGAGGAUCUGAAGCAGGCUCUGUGCUGAAGGGGGGCUCUAACCCAUGAGUCAUGAGAUCAUGACCUGAACCAAAACCAAGAGUCGAACGAAUGCUCAACCAACUGAGCCACCCAGGCACCCCUUAUGUAUAGUCUUUUAUACUCAAAUUGCCCAAGAUGAUCAAAACAAGAAUCAGUUUUGCAAAAUUAUUUGAAGGCUUCAUCAGUUUUCCCAAGAGCCUCUCCUACGCUUCUGGUACUGAGACAAUUUUCUUUUGUAGCACCUGUGCAAUUGGCUCCCUAGUAUUUCCAUCACAGACCCACACAAGUAGCAAGAGGCACCUUUGGCAGAAUGAGACGUGCAAGGACGUUUACUAGUGUCAUAAGGAGAAAUGUUUGUUUAGUGGGGACCAAUUUGAUAUUAGUGAAUAUUUUCUGCUUAAGAUGGCCUUUGCUUCCCAAUGCAACCCGACAACAGCGGUGACUUAGAUAGUGAAGGCUGAGCUAAUGAGGACCCUCUGGCAUUUCACAGACAUUAACUAUCCUCCCUUCUUUAAAGAAAGGCUGGCUACAGCUUAGCUCAUUUGAUGAGGGUGUUUACUGGUGAGUUAUUGAAGCAGACAGACUCUAAGAUGACACCCAAUGACCCCUGCCUCCUGGUGUCCAUGCUCCUGUAUAAUUCUCUGCCCUUGAGUGUGGGUGGGUCCCGUGACUUGCCUCUAACCAACGGGUAAUGGAGUGUAUGUGAGAAUAUGUACAUUGGUAUGUUACAUAAGAUUGCAAUGUCCACCUUACUGACAGCCCCUUUUCCUUGCUGGCUUUGAUGAAGCAAGUUGCCACACUGUGAGCUCUCCUACCAAGAGAGCCACAUAGCAGGAAUUGAGGGGAAUCUUCAACCGACAGCCAGUAAGAAACUGGGGCCCUCAGCCCAAACAUCCACAAGGAGCUGAGUUCUGCCAGAAAUCAUGUGGAUUGUUCCCCAUGUUGAAGUAAGACGGCAGCUCUUGCCGACAUUAUGAUUGUAGCUUUCAGAUGAGUCCCUGGCAUAGAGGACUCAACGAAUCCAUGCCUGCACCCCUGACCCACAGAAAUCGUGAGAUAAUAAAUGUAUGCUGUUCUAAGCUGCUAAAUUUGCAGUAAUCUGUUACCCAGCAAUAGAUAAUAUUAUUCUUAUAUUCAAACCAAUGGGUCAUCAAUGCCAAAAUUUAUUGAGAUAAUGACAUGUGCAGAACCCUGCACUAGCUCUGGAGAUACCUUGGUGAACGAGAGAAAAAAAUGGGUCUUCGUGGAACUUGCAAUCUAAUGAAAUAAAUGACUGUGGUAUUGUGACUUAUACCAAGAAGUAUGUAUUUGGUCUUCAUCUCUGGUUCCUAGCACAGAGCUUCUAAACCACUUAGAAUUUCCUGAGCGAUAGGAGUGUCUUGUUAUUCAGAAGGAGCCCCUUUUAAGCACGCCUGAGUUUAUGUCAAUGAGGUGACUAAGGGUGGGACCCCCUAAAUUGCCUCAGGAUGGCGAUGCCACCAGAAAGAUCAAGUGAUUAAAAGUUUGGAAACUUCAGCCCCACCCAUUGACCUCUGGGAAGGAGAGGAGGGGUUAUUGCAGAUUAAGCUCUAUGAAUACUGCUAAGCAACAAGAUUUGAUAAUUGGUGGACAUAUUCACAUUCUGGGAGUGUGGUGCACCCCAGUUCCAUGGGGAAAGAAGCUCCUGAGAUCAGGACCCUUCAGAUCUCCCCCUAUGUACCUCUUCAUCUGGCUGUUCAUUCCUAUCCUUUAUAAUAAGUUGGGAAAUGUAAGGAAAUGUUUCUCUGAGUACUGUGAGCUGUUCUAGCAAAUUAGACUUGAGGAAGGAGCUAUGGGACUCUCUAAUUUAUAGCUAGUUGGUCAGAAGCUCGGGCAAAAGCCUAGACCUUCAAUUGGUGUCUGAAGUGGGGGCAGUCUUGUGGGACUGAACCCUUAACCUGUGAGAUCUAAUGCUUAUCUGCAGGUAGAUAGUGUCAGAAUUGAGUUAAAUUUGUAGAACACCCAGUCAGCGUCUGCUGAGAAUUGGAGAAUUGGUGGAUGGUGUUGGAAAAAACACAUCGGAAAGAUAUUAAACCAAUAAUUACCAUAUAAACUCUGCACUUUAAUCCUACCAUCGGCAUUUCAGUCAGUGACCAGUAUCAUAAUGAGUUGGAUACUAUGGAUUCAUAUCAUUGAAUACCUGCCAUAAUCAUAAUUGCUUUUUUCAGUGAAGCAUCCGGAGAAAAUCUGCUGUUAAGCCAUGCAGUUUCCCGUAACCUGAGAUAAUGCCACUAUUCCUUGUAAAAAUGAGAACAUACCUUCUCUCCAGGAGGAGGGAACUAAAGUCAGAGCCAAGUCUGAUUCUGGCUCUAAGUUCAGGAUUUCUGACUACUGGACAUUCUUUCUUAAGAGCUGUCCGGUGAGCUACAGAGUGUGCAAGAGUGAGUGGGUGGCCGGCUGCUCGGAACACACGAGCCUCCGUGCAGGUUUCUACCACCUGCGUGCGAGCAGGGGCGAGCAGCUUGCGUGGUGACAGAAUUCUUCCUUUUAGAUGAGAAGCAAACUCAGUGGGAAUGCAGAGAGGAAAUUUCCCAUAACUCCAACUCCUGGGAAGCUCACGGCAGGCACAGGUGAGGCCCAGCAUCCAGAGGGCUGGGGAUGGUGUGGGCGUCUGGACCACAGGACUUCUUCCAACUGGAACAGAGAAGCACGUGGGGGUAAGCCUCAGUCUCUCAAGUAACAGUUCCUGGGUUCAUACUGUGUCCCUCACUCUUUCGCUGUCUGGAUUAGAACCUCUUGGACCUCCGCCUUCUUCAUCUGUAAAAUGGCUGAAAUACUAGUCGCUAUGUCACAGAGUUAUUAUAAGGACUAAAUGACAUUAAUAAAACUGUGUCUGGCUCCCCGGAAGCACUUAAUGAAUGUUAGUCAUUGUCAUUGUUGCUUGGGACAAUUUUUCCUAACCAGUUCAGUUAUAAUUUUUAUUAGUAACCUUUUCUGAUGGUAGACAGAAUGCGUGUUCAUAGACCAGUAUGUAAGAGUAUAGAAAAACCACAGGAAAAAUAUUAAAUCAGAAAUACUUCGUAAAUCUCUCUCUGAUCUUUUAAGAAAGAGCUCUCUCUGAUCUUUUUCUUUUCUUUGUAUAAGUGGUCUCAAUGCUGACAGUGCAUCAGAACCACCUAGGAAGAUUUAAAAAUACAAAUACCUGGGCCCCAAACCAAAUCUAAAAAGUCAGAACCUCUAGGGGCAGGGGCAAGGGAUCUGUAUUAAAAAAAAAAAAAUUCUAAGAGCACCUGGGUGGCUCAAUCGGUUAAGUCUCCAACUCAAUUUCAGCUCAGGUCAUGAUCUCAGGGGUCAUGGGAUCGAACCCUGCAUCAGGCUCUGAGCUGACAGCGUGAAGCCUGCUUGGGAUUGUUUUUCUCUCUCCCUCUCUCUCUGCCUCUUCCCUGCUUGCUCACUGUCUCUCAAAUAAAACAUUAAACAACAUGUUUUUUUAAAACUCCAGAACAUUCUAUUGUAAAAUCAGGCAUAAAAAUCCUGCCACUCACUCAUACAUGUGCUCUCUUUCUCCCUCAUACAGUUCUCAAAAAUUGAAUAAUAUUGUACAUUUGGUUUUGUAACCUGUUUUUAUCGAGUUGCCUUAUCGCUCAUUAUUCUUCUACAAUAUCUUAUUUUUUCUUAAGGCUUCGGCAGUGGUUUCCAGUAAGUGCUGCUUUUCACCCAGCGGUCCUCUCAAAAUGAAUCCAUUUAAAAAUGUCACCACUCCUGCCUUCUCUUGUCCCACUAGUCUGCCACAGUUGAUGAAUAGAGACCCCAUUCAUCAUUAUUCUUUCUUCCCAUCUCUGAUUUUAGCUUCCUGACUGAUGGCCACAUCUGGCUCCGGCCUCUCGGUCAUCACUGCACAGCUUUGUGGCUAAAGCUGGAGAUCGUGUGGGCAGACCUGCCCGUGCAGGUUUGCACAAUUUCUUCCCUAAAAUAUUAAUUUGACAUAUAACACUGUUUUUCAUUUACUGCUCAGCCGACCAUGGUAGUGGUGAUUUCAGUUCAAAACGACCUCCAAGGACUCUGGAGGGAAAUUUCCCUGGCUGUCUACUGACAUUUUAGGAAAAUAAAAUGACGUUAAAACACCAUAAAAACAUCCUUCAUAGACAGCUGUCUGCAGUUACUGAUUAACGAGACUGGACAUGGCGUGAGCAAAGGCCUUAAGCCAAUAAGAAGCAAACACACAAGGCUUUAUCCCCUCUUGCUGCCAAUACCUGAAAUUACUGAAAUUGAUAGUCAUUACAGGACAACAAAUGUGGCCCCGAUUCUCUGUCCUUCCUGGCUGAUACUCCAGGGGCACAAUGGAAGCCCAAGUGAUGGCUGUUUGAAAAUUCUUCAAAGCCUUGUAAACCAGGGGGUUUCUCAAGAAAUGUGGUGUUGAGUGUCAGUUAAGCGUCUGACUUCGGCUCAGGUCACCAUCUCACCACUUGUAGGUUUGAGCCCCGCGCUGCUGACAGCUCGGAGCCUGGAGCCUGCUUCAGAUUCUGUGUCUCCCUCUCUCUCUGCCCUUCCCCUACUCUCAAUCUCUCUCUCUCUCUCUUUCUCUCUCUCUCAAAAAUAAAUAAAUAUUUAAAAAAUUUAAAAAGAAGCAUGGUGCAUUUGAAAAAAAAUAAAAAAGGAAAUGUCCAUUUAAGAAUCAUCUGCAUGGAGCAGUAGGCAGAAUGGGUAUGGCAGGUGACCAACUGGUCUUCAAGUGAGGAAACCAGGGGAGCUUGGCCCCUGGAGCCGGACCAUUUGCUCUGGGCUCUGGGCCAGGCCAAAUGAGGGAUAAUAAUAAGGGCUGCAGGCCACUCUGAGGACAGCAGGGCAUCGCCCAAAGAAGUCUGACUGUUUAGUGAAUACACAGCUGAGAAUGAAAGCAGUUCGUGAUGACUGAGGAAUGAUGUGCCGGGCACUCUUAGGGUUAAUUGAGGAAGCCUGGGGGACAGACAGCCUGUCCUCUCCCGAGAGAGUAGAUAUUUUGAAUGGUGCUAAUAGGAUAUAUUCCUAUUGAAGAGUGAGGGACGUGAAGCCCAUUCAAUGAGCCAGAAUUUGCUGGCCUAUUCUGCUCUUCUCAGGCCAUAGGAACAAGAGUCUUAAAUAUGUGGAAACUUUCUCCUGCAGUGGGGAAGAACAUGGGUAUUGUAGUCAUACAGACCUGCAAGCUCUUCCACUUAUCAACUGGUGAUUUAAUAUCUCUGAGGCUCGGUUUCUUCCACCCUGUAAUGGGGGCAGGUACGCACUUCAUAGGGUGGGGACCAAAUGUGCUAAGUGCCUGUGCAACAAUGUCUGGGACGGACAGUGCUGGUUUCCCAAGGCUGCUGGGGCCGGAACAGAGGGGAAGUGAAAGUCUCAGGCUGCGAUGGGGUGAUGCCGUCAGGGGGUGACGGGAGGUUUUGCCUGAGUGGCAGUGUCACUCAGACCUUUGUCCACGGCAGGGGAGGCCCUGAAGUAGGCCUAGGCUGAGGCUGGCUCACAAGUGUGAUAGUUUGAUGGUUUGCCAAGUUGGUGUGAGCCUCGCCCUGUUCUGGUUGGUUGUUGAGCAAGACAAGGCUGAUGACAGAAGCUUCUCCUCUGUGUGGCAGUUCUUUUCCAUCCCAAAUAAUGGAAAUGGCAGGAUCUCAGGAGGCCAAGACCAGUCAGAAGGGUUUUGUAUCCCCCUUAUCCCUUAUCAUACCAGGUGCAUCCUCCAGGUAAGUGCCCUGUUGCUUCUGUCUCCAGCCUGAAUGCGGGCUUCUGCACUUUUGCAAGCCGUCCUCACCCCAGGGGUAAUAUCUCCCAUUUGGUGGGGAUGGUUGCAAGUCUGCAAGCCCAUCCGAGUGACUGUGCCGGGGAAGGAAGCUUUGCUAAGUCUCUUCAUUAGUUUUCUCAGAGCAGAAAUUGAGCACCCAUGGUGACAUUUCAUUUCAACACUCCUUACUGGACACUGAUGGUUUCUUCCCAUUCUUGAAUUGAAACAAGAAAAGUGGGCAAGAAUGAUUUCUAAACAGAGUGUGAUUUUAAGCAGAGGAUUUAUGAACAUAUGUUCUCCUCCCUGGUUGCAGAUAGGCAACUUUCUCUGGGAGAGGAUAGAGAUCUUAUUGCAAAAACAAUAGAUAUUGAUCUCAAUCUGUUCAUUGCUUCUGCUUUUCAUGAGAAAGACAAAAAGAUUGUUGCAUGGAAGGCUGGGGGAGAGCCUCAGUUACCAUGCAAAGAACUUUCCACGAUAGGAGCUAAUAUCCCCAAGCACCUACUACUGCCAAACAAUGUGCUAAGUACUUUAUGAAAUUAUUUCACAGCAGUUCUUCCCAUUUCAAAGAUAAAAAGUUGAGAGUUUUAGCCAGGGAAAUCCUAAGGCUAGAGCAGGGAAAGCAUAUAUCUGGCCAUGGGAAGUUUGGGGAUAACACCCCCUCCCCUUCCUGUUGUCUGAAAAGAAAAGGAUCGGAUGUCCAUUUGGGAGGAUGAAAACAGCCCUCAGCCUGGGUUCUGGCCAAAUCGGGUCCACAAAGGACACAAAGAGACUUGUGAGCCUCUUGUGUAAGUCAAGAUUCUUGGGUGCACGUGACAGAAAUCAAACCCAAGCUAACUUAAGCUUAAUGAGAAGAAAUCUACUGGCUCAUCCAACUGGGGCUGGCAGAGGCGUGACUCACAGCUGGAAUCAGGCAUUUAAAUAACACUCCCUUGCUCUCUUCCUCCCUCUCCUCUGUGUCUCGGCCUCAUCCUCUCCCAUUACAGUCAGGCUUUCUACACUCAACCAGGCUUUUAUGAUCCUAGCUCAGCAAGACUUGCAGAAAAAGCAGGUUGUCUCAGUGAAUAUUAAAUAUACAUGGCAGGCACUGAAUGUAACUGUAGAGAAGGGCUCGGAUAAGUCCUGUUGGUAUAGCACCAUGCCACUGUACCAGUUAUGAUCACCAUUGUCAGGGUGAUAGGGUACGGUGACGAGUGAGCCCGUGGUCAAUGCAGGGCAGCAAAUUGUGAUGGAUGAUUCUACGUGAACUAGAUAGACGGGCUGAAGGAGUUCCCCAAGGGAAUCAGGGAGGCAGAGCAGACAAAAUAACAGAUGCCCACUAGGCCCUGGAACUGACAAGGAGAGUCUGAGAGAUGCCACCUUCAUAGUGAUCCUUUUGUGCCCCUAAUUACUCUAAACAUGACAAUGAUCCCAUAUAUCACAUUUAUUAGUUUGCUGGGGCUGCCGUAAAAAUUACUACAGACUGGGUAACUUAUCACCAGCAGAAAUUCACCUGUCACAGUUCUGAAGGCUGGAAGCCUGCCAUUUGGGUGCCGCAUGGUUGAGUUCUGGUGAGGGCCUUCUUCCUGGUUCGCAGGUGGCUGCCUGUGUGCCCCCAUGGCCUCUUCUCAUCCUCAGUGCGUGCAGGGGGCUCUGGUGUCUUUUCUUCUCGUAAACAGGGCAUUGGUUCUAUUGGAUCAGUACUCUACCCUGAUGCCCUCAUUUAGCCUCAAUCCCCCUGAAAGGCCUCAGCACCGUCACAUGGGGGACGAGGGCUUCAACAUGUGAAUUCUGAAGGGACACAAUCCAGCCCAUAGCAUCCUGAGAUCUAGAUACUUUUUUGAAGAUACAGUUUACCUCUGUUCUACAAAAAUCUCAGUGCUCUGAGAGACACCUCAUGCUUGAAAAUGAUAGUCAGAAAUAUCUGAGGGGCGCCUGGGUGGCUCAGUCGGUCGAGCGUCUGAGUCUUGAUUUUGGCUCAGGUCAUGAUCUCGUGGUUUGUUGGUUUGAGCCCCAUGUCAGUGCACUGUCAGUGCAGAGCCUCCUUGGGAUUCUCUGUCUCCCUCUCUCUCUGCCCCUCCUGCAUGCUCUCCCACUCUCUCUCUCAAAAUAAACUUUAAAAAAAAAAAAAGAAGUAUUUGAAAUUCUAGGUAAGUGGGAUUCAGGAGGAAAGAAAUUACAUUGCCUGUGGAUUGGAAGCUCCGUGAGGGCAGGGACUGUGCCUCUGAGAUCAGCAGUUGGCCCUGAGAAACACAUGAAUUGAGGAAAGACGGACUUCCCUAGAGAUGUACAAAGAUCAGUGGUUUGAAACGCAUUAUUAUCCGAGCUUCAUUUGAUCUCUGUUGGGAAAACAAGGGAGGGUGGACACUCCCUUUUGUCACUGAGGGGUGAUUUGCCUGAAUUUUUAAGAGGCAGUUUCCUGCUUCUCCUGUCUCGUCCUGGUUCUGAAGACACUGCUGCUAAUAAUCAGGUCUGUUGCUCUGUCUGCCCUGUCUUCUGGGAAAUAAAGUCUUGCACUUGAGAUACUGUGUAACAAGAGCAUUUUAUUUAACAAAAUAAAAUACAUACACACAUGCACACAUGAUCAGUUGCUUUAAAAAUAGCCUCAGAAAAGCUCUCAUUUUCGUGUGUCUUAGGAUUUCUUCCUAAAAUCUAGCACAGCUUUUACAGUUUUGUUCAGGGGCUUGCCUGCUUAUUCUUUUUUCCGGGUUUUGGAUUUCAGAUUCAGUCACAGUUUUGUAGGUGCAGAAAAAUUUUUCCUUCUUCUCUUCUAGGUUCUUUGGCUGGCCAAAUAAUUAAAUUGAUGUAAGACGGAUUAACAGGAGGAAAACAAAUUUAAUUUCAUGCAUAAAAGAGCCCCAUAAAGCUAUGAGACUCAAAAAAGUGACCCAAGUAGACAGUUUUUAUGCCUUUUAUUUUCUUAAUUUUUAAAUGUUUAUUUAUUUAAAAAUAAUUUUUUUAAUGUUUUUAUUUAUUUUUGAGACAGAGAGAGACAGAGCAUGAGCAGGGGAGGGGCAGAGAGAGAGGGAGACACAGAAUCGGAAGCAGGCUCCAGGCUCUGAGCUGUCAGCACAGAGCCCCACUCGGGGCUCGAACUCAGGAGCUGUGAGAUCAUGACCUGAGCUGAAGUCGGACGUUUAACCGACUGAGCCACUGAGGUGCCCCUAUACCUUUUAGAUAGAGAAACAGUAAAUUUAUAAAGAAUUAGCAAGAUAAAGGGGUUUGGGCUUGGGGUCGUAAAUUAGUGAAGAAAUAACAAGUUUUGUUUGCAUAGCCUUCUCAGCCCUAAAUUCCCUAUUUUUGGUGAUAAGGAUCCCUUCUACCCUCCUGGUACAUCUUUCACAUGGGAGAUUCGUCUCCUGCUUUCAGGGGGACAAAGGCGGAUCGGAGUGUUCUUCUUGCACUGACUCUCAAAUAAUUUUAAUUCAAAAUAAUUUGAAAAUGAAUCAAAGGAAACCUCAUUGAAAAUGGAAUCAGGAUGCCAGAAGGGGGAGCCCUCACGCACUACCCCUGGACGGAUUCCAGCCGGCAACAGGAAGCGGGGUCCAUACCGAGCGCAGCUCAACGGGGAGCGACUCACCUUGCAAGCUGAUACCACUUUUCUGUGUCAGCAGGAGGAAGAGAGAUUCCCUUCCUUGCCCAGGAACUCAGCCAAUGAGAAGCCAUCACUACUCUGAACCCUCGCUUACCUCCAGUGAACUUCCACUCAGAAUAGCCCCUCCCACUUCCUCCUCUUUCUCUAUAAGCUAAUGUUCCUUUCCUUUGCUUGUUGCACUUGCCUAUGACUUUUGCUAUAUAGCUUGAAUGACAAGCUGAAUUACAAGUCCUCUGUUAUUUCUGAAUAAACCCAGUGUGCUGGUAAAAUAACUGGCCGUUUUAAGGUGGACAAGUCAGUAUGCAAAGUGGCAUAUCUGGGGGUCGCGUAUUCUCCUGGGACUUCCAUUUGCUGUCCUGUUAAAGCCUCUGUAGGUACUUCCUUAAAAGUUUAAGAAUAAACAGGACCGGCUGUGACUGCUUCAGAAUAGUAUCCAUUUUCAUGUAGUGUCAUGGUGGCUUGCCCUGGAGAGGGCUGCCUGGGUACCAGGUUAUUUAUCAGCUCUGUGGCUCUGGGCUGGUUAAUCUUUCUUAGCUUCAUAAAGUUGUAGGGUAUAUGAAAAGCGCAUAUAGCACAGUGCCUGUCCAGGGUAAAUGCUCUAAAGUAAUAACUAUUAUAACUAUCUCUCCCUUUUACAAAUUGCUCAAUGUCCCAAAUGCAGGGCUCUAAAACUCAAAUGUCUGCAGGAGCCAGGAAGGUAAUUUAAAUGUAUAAAGCUAACUGGUUUGGGGCUUUGGGAAUGGGCUCAUCCAUGAUGAAGUAGGGGGAGCACAUGAUCUGCUAAAAGAAAGUCAAAUUUUAUAACUGAAAGGAAAGGAGAGGAACGGAGGGAGGGAGGGAGGAAGGGAGGAAAGAAGAUAACAUCGUACAUGUUGGCUGGCUGGAUUUGGCCCUAGUUUGUAACCCUAGCUCUGAUAUAAAGGAGCUGAGUGAGCUCCGUUAGGGAAACGAAUCUCAGGUUUUAGGAUUUGUCUUAGGAUGUUCUCA